This is a long non-coding RNA of Panthera uncia (snow leopard), 1184 nucleotides long. RefSeq lists it as uncharacterized. Lineage: Eukaryota; Metazoa; Chordata; Mammalia; Carnivora; Felidae. The transcript has 3 exons. The record is from RefSeq and is a predicted model, not a curated record.
AAAAAAAAAUGUUGAUUUAUUGAACUGACUGCCGAAAAAGAAGAGGAAGACGAAGAUGAAGAAGAUCAAUCUGACCUUGAGGCUAAUAAUGAAGGGCCGGGGAAGGAGGCCAGUGCUAGGAGGGUUAUCUCACUGCCUCAGAUGCUGGAUAAGUCGAAGGAAGCAGAAUCGCUUUUGGAUGACAUUCAGAAAGGCCGGAGUGAUUAUUUGGGAGAGAAAAGCCUGCCUAUUCUUUUCCAAGGUGCGUGACUGUUCCCCUGGCCUGCCCAUCCACUGAUGAAUUAUUAGCAACGUGCCUUAGACAAAGGACGCACGGGAGCCCCACCACACCUAGAGCCACGCUUUGAAGGAUCUGCCAAGCUCACUUUUAAUCAUGAGAAAGAAAUUACCCACAUGGAGUCAGCAGAAAAUGAGAAAGUAGAGCUCGUGCUGCGAAUAAUUCCAGCAAGUGCCAAGGGGCUAGUUGAGGAAUGGCUUCAUGAAGUGAAUAUCUUUAGCUUGUACUUAGGGUUUGGUUAGCGUAUAAUCAUUUUCUCUUUUAGGAGCGUUGACUAUCCUCAGUGUCUUUCCUCACUAAAGAGUGCUCAGAGCAUUCGUCAGGAUGUUGACAGAUUUAAUAUCAGUCUCGUCCUUGUUGUUAUUUACUAUGACUAAUUUUACAUGUGCAGAUAUGCAAAAAUCAAUUUAGGCGGAGAGGCGCUCCGGAGCCAACAACUGUUAACCGCUGUAUGUGUGUGUGUCUCGCUUGCGAGUGGAUGUCCAGUAAUUUCUGUCUCUGUGUGUGUACGUGCCCUUGUUCUUGUCUUCUCUCCGUUGUGCCAUAGGUUGGGAGGUUUGGCCAGCCAAUGCCUGCUCAGAUGUGGUCUGAGGCUUUCAUUUGAUUUUUGGACCAGGAAAAAAAGAAUGUGUCACAUCAUGAUUAAUGGUCAAUCUGAAUUUUCAAUUCAUAUGAAAGGAGAAGGGGGAGGAGGAUAUGAGCCCAGUGAUGAGACGAACCUUUUCCCUUUGGGAAGAGCAUGAUUCAAAUUAAACAUCACUUUCAGUGUGAAAUUAGUUUGAAGGCUUCUUUUUUUUUCUCCCCCCGUGCCUGGUUUAACUCCAUGGUGGCUGCUCCUGCAGAGAGGACCCUUCCAUCCGGCCUCUGUGCCCGAAUCUGUUCCCAGUAGGCCAUAGUUCCUCUUCUU